Molecule: non-coding RNA, 22 nt
Filed under: Arabidopsis thaliana (thale cress)
Lineage: Eukaryota; Viridiplantae; Streptophyta; Magnoliopsida; Brassicales; Brassicaceae
Source: RNAcentral
UGUGCUAACGGAAUUAUCGGGU